AACUGCGACCCCAGGUCAGCGGGAUUACCCGCUGAGUUUAAGCAUAUCAAUAAGCGGAGGAAAAGGAAACUUACAAGGAUUCCCCUAGUAACGGCGAGCGAACCGGGAAU
This 110-nucleotide ribosomal RNA is filed under the name Erica lanata. RNAcentral's name for it is "partial 28S ribosomal RNA". It matches the Rfam family "Eukaryotic large subunit ribosomal RNA", at positions 1 to 105 of the family's 3401-position model. The record is from RNAcentral. Lineage: Eukaryota; Viridiplantae; Streptophyta; Magnoliopsida; Ericales; Ericaceae.